CGAACGGACGAGAAGCUUGCUUCUCUGAUGUUAGCGGCGGACGGGUGAGUAACACGUGGAUAACCUACCUAUAAGACUGGGAUAACUUCGGGAAACCGGAGCUAAUACCGGAUAAUAUUUUGAACCGCAUGGUUCAAAAGUGAAAGACGGUCUUGCUGUCACUUAUAGAUGGAUCCGCGCUGCAUUAGCUAGUUGGUAAGGUAACGGCUUACCAAGGCAACGAUGCAUAGCCGACCUGAGAGGGUGAUCGGCCACACUGGAACUGAGACACGGUCCAGACUCCUACGGGAGGC
Molecule: ribosomal RNA, 293 nt
Filed under: Staphylococcus aureus
Lineage: Bacteria; Bacillati; Bacillota; Bacilli; Caryophanales; Staphylococcaceae
Description: partial 16S ribosomal RNA
Rfam family: Bacterial small subunit ribosomal RNA
Source: RNAcentral